This 2497-nucleotide long non-coding RNA is filed under the name Calidris pugnax (ruff). RNAcentral's name for it is "lncRNA (ENSCPUG00000013945.1)". The record is from RNAcentral. Lineage: Eukaryota; Metazoa; Chordata; Aves; Charadriiformes; Scolopacidae.
AGCAUCACCUGGAAGCCAGCGGCCACCCGGCAACCAUCACCUGGCAACCGUUGCUUGGCAACCAUCACCCGGCAACCAUCACCCGGAAGCCGUCGCCUGGCAACCAUCACCUGGCAACUGUUGCUUGGCAACCAUCACCCAGCAAGUGGUACCCAAGCAUCACCCAGGAGGCAGUACCAACCCAGCAACCAUCACCUGGCACCUGUUGCCUGGCAACCGUCGCCUGGCAACCGUCGCCUGGAAACCACCCGGAAAGCGGUACCCAAGCAUCACCCAGGCGGCAGCAGCCACCCAGCAACCAUCACCUGGCAACCGUUGCCUGGCAACCGUCACCUGGCAAGCGGUCCCAAGCAUCACCCGGGAUUCAGCAGCCACCCGGCAACCAUCGCCUGGCAACCGUUGCCUGGCAACCGUCGCCUGUGGCACCCAGCCUGGCAAGUGGUACCCAGGCAUCACCUGGGAGGCAGCAGCCACCUGGCAACUGUUGCUUGGCAACCAUCACCUGGCAAGCGGUACCCAAGCAUCAUCCAGGAGGCAGCAGCAACGUGGCAACCGUUGCCUGGCAACCAUCGCCCGGCAACCACCUGGCAAGUGGCACCCAGGCAUCACCUGGGAGGCAGCAGCCACCUGGCAACUGUUGCUUGGCAACCCUCACCUGGCAAGCGGUACCCAAGCAUCACCUGGGAUCCAGCAGCCACCUGGCAACCAUCACUUGGCAACUGUUGCCUGGCAACCAUCACCUGGCAGGCGGUACCCAAGAAUCACCCAGGAGGCAGCAGCCACCCGGCAACCAUCACCUGGCAACCGUCACCUGGCACCCGUUGCCUGGCAACCAUCACCCGGCAAGGGGUACCCAAGCAUCACCCAGGAGGCAGCACCCGGAGGUUGCCACCCGGCAACCGUCACCUGGCAACCAUCACCUGGCAAUUGUUGCCUGGCAACCAUCACCUGGCAACUGUUGCUUGGCAACCAUCGCCUGGCAAGCGGUACCCAAGCAUCACCUGGGAUCCAGCAGCCACCUGGCAACCAUCACCUGGCAACCGUCACCCAGCAAGCAGUACUCAAGCAUCACCCGGGAGGCAGCAGCCACCUGGCAACCAUCACCUGGCAACCAUCACCCAGAAACCGUCGCCUGGCAACCAUCACCUGGCAACCGUUGCUUGGCAACCAUCACCUGGAAACUGUCGCCUGGCAACCACCUGGCAAAUGGUACCCAAGCAUCACCCAGGAGGCAGCAGCCACCUGGCAACCGUUGCCUGGCAACCAUCACCUGGCAAGCGUUACCUGGCAACCACCUUGGCAACGGUACCUAGCAACCACCCUGGCCAUGGUUACCUGACAACAGCAUCUAGCAAUGGUUCCCUGGCAACGGUACCUGGCAACGGUUACCUGACAACCACCCUGGCAACAGCACCUGGCAACGGUUACCUGGCAACAGCAUCUAGCAAUGGUGCCAGGCAACGGUACCUAGCAACGGUUACCUGGCAACCACCCUGACAAUGGUACCUACCCCAGCAACGGUACCUAACAACCAUCCAUGGUAACCACCUUAGCAACGGUACCUGGCAACAACCCUGGCAACGGUACCUGGCAACAGCACCCGGCAACGGUUCCCUGGCAACCACCCUGGCAACAGCACCUAGCAAUGGUGCCUGGCAACGGUACCUGGCAACCACCCUGGCAAUGGUUACCUGGCAACCACCCUGGCAACCACCCUGGCAACAGCCCCUAGCAACAGUUACCUGGCAAUCACCUUGGCAACGGUACCUGACAACAGCCCCUAGCAACCAUCCUGGCAAUGGUGCCUAGCAACGGUUACCUGGCAACCACCCUGGCAACGGUUACCUGGCAACCAGUCUGGCAACAGUACCUGACAACAGCCCCUAGCAACCAUCCUGGCAACAGCAUCUAGCAACAGCUACCUGGCAACCACCCUGGCAAUGGUACAUAGCAACCACCCUGGCAACGGUUACCUGGCAACCAGCCUGGCAACCAUCCCUGGCAACAGCAUCUAGCAAUGGUGCCUGGCAAUGGUGCCUAGCAACAGUUGCCUGGCAACAGCACCUAGCAACCAUCCUGGCAUGGCACCUAGCAACGGUUACCUGGCAACUACCUUGGCAACGGUACCUGGCAACCACCUUAGCAAUGGUGCCUGGCAACAGCACCUGGCAACGGUUUCCUGGCAACAGCACGUAGCAAUGGUGCCUGGCAACAGCACCUAGCGAUGGUUACCUGGCAACCACCCUGGCAAUGGUACCUAGCAACGGUUACCUGGCAACAGUUACUUGGCAACCAGCCUGGCAACCACCCUGGCAACAGCCCCUAGCAACGGUUACCUGGCAACCACCCUGGCAAUGGUACCCGGUAACCGUCCAUGGCAACCACCCCAGCAACGGUACCUGGCAACCACCCUGGCAACCAUCCUGGCAACAGCACCUAGCAACAGUUUCCUGGCAACAGCAUCUAGCAAUGAUGCCUGGCAACGGUUACCUGGCAA